GUGCUUGCUUUAGCAGCUCUUAUACUAAAAUUGGAAGAAUACAGAGAUUAGCAUGAUUCCUGUACAAGGAUGACAAGCAAAUUCAUGAAGCAUUCCAUAAAAUA
This 104-nucleotide small nuclear RNA is filed under the name Castor canadensis (American beaver). The record is from RNAcentral. Lineage: Eukaryota; Metazoa; Chordata; Mammalia; Rodentia; Castoridae.